ACCCUGGUGGCGAGUGGCGAACGGGUGAGUAACAUAUCGGAACGUGCCAUAGAGUGGGGGAUAACUAGUCGAAAGAUUAGCUAAUACCGCAUACGAUCUACGGAUGAAAGUGGGGGAUCGCAAGACCUCAUGCUCUGUGAGCGGCCGAUAUCUGAUUAGCUAGUUGGUAGGGUAAAAGCCUACCAAGGNGACGAUCAGUAGCUGGNCUGAGAGGACGACCAGCCACACUGGGACUGAGACACGGCCCAGACUCCUACGGGAGGCAGCAGUGGGGAAUUUUGGACAAUGGGGGCAACCCUGAUCCAGCAAUGCCGCGUGAGUGAAGAAGGCCUUCGGGUUGUAAAGCUCUUUUGUUCGGAAAGAAAUCGCUCUGGCUAAUAUCCAGGGUGGAUGACGGUACCGGAAGAAUAAGCACCGGCUAACUACGUGCCAGCAGCCGCGGUAAUACGUAGGGNGCNNGCGUUAAUCGGAAUUACUGGGCGUAAAGCGUGCGCAGGCGGUUGUGCAAGACAGAUGUGAAAUCCCCGGGCUUAACCUGGGAACUGCAUUUGUGACUG
RNAcentral lists this ribosomal RNA (557 nucleotides) under uncultured bacterium. RNAcentral's name for it is "bacterial SSU rRNA". It matches the Rfam family "Bacterial small subunit ribosomal RNA", at positions 82 to 635 of the family's 1533-position model. The record is from RNAcentral.